Molecule: ribosomal RNA, 2554 nt
Filed under: Staphylococcus aureus
Lineage: Bacteria; Bacillati; Bacillota; Bacilli; Caryophanales; Staphylococcaceae
Description: partial 23S ribosomal RNA
Rfam family: Bacterial large subunit ribosomal RNA
Source: RNAcentral
GUAAUAAUCCUGUAGUCGAAAAUGUUGUCUCUCUUGAGUGGAUCCUGAGUACGACGGAGCACGUGAAAUUCCGUCGGAAUCUGGGAGGACCAUCUCCUAAGGCUAAAUACUCUCUAGUGACCGAUAGUGAACCAGUACCGUGAGGGAAAGGUGAAAAGCACCCCGGAAGGGGAGUGAAAUAGAACCUGAAACCGUGUGCUUACAAGUAGUCAGAGCCCGUUAAUGGGUGAUGGCGUGCCUUUUGUAGAAUGAACCGGCGAGUUACGAUUUGAUGCAAGGUUAAGCAGUAAAUGUGGAGCCGUAGCGAAAGCGAGUCUGAAUAGGGCGUUUAGUAUUUGGUCGUAGACCCGAAACCAGGUGAUCUACCCUUGGUCAGGUUGAAGUUCAGGUAACACUGAAUGGAGGACCGAACCGACUUACGUUGAAAAGUGAGCGGAUGAACUGAGGGUAGCGGAGAAAUUCCAAUCGAACCUGGAGAUAGCUGGUUCUCUCCGAAAUAGCUUUAGGGCUAGCCUCAAGUGAUGAUUAUUGGAGGUAGAGCACUGUUUGGACGAGGGGCCCCUCUCGGGUUACCGAAUUCAGACAAACUCCGAAUGCCAAUUAAUUUAACUUGGGAGUCAGAACAUGGGUGAUAAGGUCCGUGUUCGAAAGGGAAACAGCCCAGACCACCAGCUAAGGUCCCAAAAUAUAUGUUAAGUGGAAAAGGAUGUGGCGUUGCCCAGACAACUAGGAUGUUGGCUUAGAAGCAGCCAUCAUUUAAAGAGUGCGUAAUAGCUCACUAGUCGAGUGACACUGCGCCGAAAAUGUACCGGGGCUAAACAUAUUACCGAAGCUGUGGAUUGUCCUUUGGACAAUGGUAGGAGAGCGUUCUAAGGGCGUUGAAGCAUGAUCGUAAGGACAUGUGGAGCGCUUAGAAGUGAGAAUGCCGGUGUGAGUAGCGAAAGACGGGUGAGAAUCCCGUCCACCGAUUGACUAAGGUUUCCAGAGGAAGGCUCGUCCGCUCUGGGUUAGUCGGGUCCUAAGCUGAGGCCGACAGGCGUAGGCGAUGGAUAACAGGUUGAUAUUCCUGUACCACCUAUAAUCGUUUUAAUCGAUGGGGGGACGCAGUAGGAUAGGCGAAGCGUGCGAUUGGAUUGCACGUCUAAGCAGUAAGGCUGAGUAUUAGGCAAAUCCGGUACUCGUUAAGGCUGAGCUGUGAUGGGGAGAAGACAUUGUGUCUUCGAGUCGUUGAUUUCACACUGCCGAGAAAAGCCUCUAGAUAGAAAAUAGGUGCCCGUACCGCAAACCGACACAGGUAGUCAAGAUGAGAAUUCUAAGGUGAGCGAGCGAACUCUCGUUAAGGAACUCGGCAAAAUGACCCCGUAACUUCGGGAGAAGGGGUGCUCUUUAGGGUUAACGCCCAGAAGAGCCGCAGUGAAUAGGCCCAAGCGACUGUUUAUCAAAAACACAGGUCUCUGCUAAACCGUAAGGUGAUGUAUAGGGGCUGACGCCUGCCCGGUGCUGGAAGGUUAAGAGGAGUGGUUAGCUUCUGCGAAGCUACGAAUCGAAGCCCCAGUAAACGGCGGCCGUAACUAUAACGGUCCUAAGGUAGCGAAAUUCCUUGUCGGGUAAGUUCCGACCCGCACGAAAGGCGUAACGAUUUGGGCACUGUCUCAACGAGAGACUCGGUGAAAUCAUAGUACCUGUGAAGAUGCAGGUUACCCGCGACAGGACGGAAAGACCCCGUGGAGCUUUACUGUAGCCUGAUAUUGAAAUUCGGCACAGCUUGUACAGGAUAGGUAGGAGCCUUUGAAACGUGAGCGCUAGCUUACGUGGAGGCGCUGGUGGGAUACUACCCUAGCUGUGUUGGCUUUCUAACCCGCACCACUUAUCGUGGUGGGAGACAGUGUCAGGCGGGCAGUUUGACUGGGGCGGUCGCCUCCUAAAAGGUAACGGAGGCGCUCAAAGGUUCCCUCAGAAUGGUUGGAAAUCAUUCAUAGAGUGUAAAGGCAUAAGGGAGCUUGACUGCGAGACCUACAAGUCGAGCAGGGUCGAAAGACGGACUUAGUGAUCCGGUGGUUCCGCAUGGAAGGGCCAUCGCUCAACGGAUAAAAGCUACCCCGGGGAUAACAGGCUUAUCUCCCCCAAGAGUUCACAUCGACGGGGAGGUUUGGCACCUCGAUGUCGGCUCAUCGCAUCCUGGGGCUGUAGUCGGUCCCAAGGGUUGGGCUGUUCGCCCAUUAAAGCGGUACGCGAGCUGGGUUCAGAACGUCGUGAGACAGUUCGGUCCCUAUCCGUCGUGGGCGUAGGAAAUUUGAGAGGAGCUGUCCUUAGUACGAGAGGACCGGGAUGGACAUACCUCUGGUGUACCAGUUGUCGUGCCAACGGCAUAGCUGGGUAGCUAUGUGUGGACGGGAUAAGUGCUGAAAGCAUCUAAGCAUGAAGCCCCCCUCAAGAUGAGAUUUCCCAACUUCGGUUAUAAGAUCCCUCAAAGAUGAUGAGGUUAAUAGGUUCGAGGUGGAAGCAUGGUGACAUGUGGAGCUGACGAAUACUAAUCGAUCGAAGACUUAAUCAA